AUCCUUUUUUUUUUCAUGGUUCAUUCUGGAAGCCCCUGUUGCUGUUAGCAAACACUAAGUGGAAGGAGAAAUGCACCAAGUUUCAUUAUUCAAAGGGAAGGAGAAAUGGUAAUAUGAAUUUCAUUAGUUUGUAUAACAAUGAUGUUUUUUUUUUUCCUGAAUCAUGUCUAAUAGCCUCACAAAUUUUUUUAUGAACACUAAAUUCAUAACAUUGAUCCCAAGAAGAACAAGAGGAAAGAAAAUUGCUAUUAAAUCCUGCAACAAUUGAGAAUUCCAUUUGAUCCCUAUUACUUUUAUACUUUGUGAAGUCCAUUACUUUAAAGUGAAUGUAACAAUUUUCUUUUUGCCUGUUUUUGUUAAAGUAUGUGUUCUUAGUUCUUUAUCUUGUCUGGAGAUUGUUAUGACUGUUACUGACAAUAUCUGUUCUGGUAGCUGAAAAUUGGCCUUCUUUAUGGAGAGUUCAAUUCCAGCUCAAGUAGCAGGUUUCUUCAACCUGCAUAUGAUGUGCAACAUUUAUUGCUACCUCAGAGUAGACUGCCUUAGAAAUGCCGUUGCUACUCGUUCUAGCCACUUGCGUGAGCUUACAAAUGAUAAGUUUGAUUCAAAUUGGGAAAUUGCAAAUUAGUACUACAAAAGCAUGGCAAUGGUGCAGCAGCUACAUCAGAUUCAUCUGAAUUUCCACGAAGAUUUGGAUAUAGAACAAGUAAGCUUUUGGCAUUGCAGAUCGCUAGAUAUAUGCCAACUGAUCAGCUUCUUUCCUCAACCAUCUGAUUAUAAUACUGUGGGAUCAACGAUUUGUUGCUUAUGGCUGUGCUGAGCACCUGAAGAAAUUGAAGAAACAUGCAUCUUCAUUAAAAGAAUUAGACCAAGGCAGUGAAACAAGUGUUCUGGCACAUAAAUGUAUGUGGCUACAAAAGCAACUAUUUGACAGCUUGUGCUCUAUGUCAAAGGACACAUCCUUGCUGCUGAAGACAGUUGAAAAAUACUCAUUUAAAUACUUGCAACAGUGUGAAGGCUGAAGUCAACAAAAUCAACUUUUCUAACAAUUUUGGGGCCUUUUGGAUUAUAGAAGCAUGGAAAUGAAAUGUUGAAUUGGAAUCGAAAUUGAAAUGUGUACUAGAAAAAAAGGAAAAGAUUAUUAUGUGUGUGAAUCAUUCUAUUGUCUUCUUCUUUUAUUUGUGUAAUUAUCUAGCAUAUAAUACAAGUAGAUUACAUUCCCCACUCUCUCUCUCUCAUACAAUGAACAAAGGGGUUUUAAAUUGUUCUUAAAAUUCUGUCCUAAAAUCUGACCAUUGGCAACAUUAAUA
Long non-coding RNA from Magnolia sinica, 1307 nucleotides. RefSeq lists it as uncharacterized. The transcript is spliced from 3 exons. The record is from RefSeq and is a predicted model, not a curated record. Lineage: Eukaryota; Viridiplantae; Streptophyta; Magnoliopsida; Magnoliales; Magnoliaceae.